UGUUUUAAUAGUUCAGCUCACUGGGCUUUUAGCUCACCCCUCUCCCUUUACCCCCAGGCUUGCAGGUACAGGAUAUAGCAGGAGUCCGGAUAGUGUAAAGAAGUCAUGUUUAUGUAAUAGCUAGCAAUGGACAUGAUCAAAUUGUAAUGUAAAAGUACAGUAUAGUUAUGUAAUGAGUUUUAUGGAUGUUAGUGUGUGCUUGACCAUAGAAUGUUGUAUCCCGUUUUAUACAUGAUCUUAGAGAUUUUGAUGAUGUUUAUGUAAACCAGCUCAACACAGGUUAUGUUACCCUUUGAGGGCACAGAUGAGAUCCC
RNAcentral lists this long non-coding RNA (314 nucleotides) under Manihot esculenta (cassava). RNAcentral describes it as "long non-coding RNA (MESC_LNC008811)". Lineage: Eukaryota; Viridiplantae; Streptophyta; Magnoliopsida; Malpighiales; Euphorbiaceae. The record is from RNAcentral.